GCGGGUGUAGCCAAAUUGGUAAAGGCGCAUGGCUUAGGACCAUGUGGGGAAACCCAUUGGAGGUUCGAGUCCUCCCAUCCGCA
Candidatus Jorgensenbacteria bacterium is the source of this 83-nucleotide non-coding RNA. Lineage: Bacteria; Candidatus Joergenseniibacteriota. The record is from Rfam.